UUAACACAUGCAAGUCGAACGAUGAACCUCGCUUGCGGGGGGAUUAGUGGCGAACGGGUGAGUAACACGUGAGUAACCUGCCCUUAACUCUGGGAUAAGCCUGGGAAACUGGGUCUAAUACUGGAUAUUGACUUUACCUCGCAUGGGGUUUGGUUGAAAGCUUUUGUGGUUUUGGAUGGACUCGCGGCCUAUCAGCUUGUUGGUGAGGUAAUGGCUCACCAAGGCGACGACGGGUAGCCGGCCUGAGAGGGUGACCGGCCACACUGGGACUGAGACACGGCCCAGACUCCUACGGGAGGCAGCAGUGGGGAAUAUUGCACAAUGGGCGAAAGCCUGAUGCAGCGACGCCGCGUGAGGGAUGACGGCCUUCGGGUUGUAAACCUCUUUCAGUAGGGAACAAGGCUACACGUUGUGUGGUUGAGGGUACCUGCAGAAGAAGCGCCGGCUAACUACGUGCCAGCAGCCGCGGUAAUACGUAGGGCGCAAGCGUUAUCCGGAAUUAUUGGGCGUAAAGAGCUCGUAGGCGGUUUGUCGCGUCUGCCGUGAAAGUCCGGGGCUCAACCCCGGAUCUGCGGUGGGUACGGGCAGACUAGAGUGAUGUAGGGGAGACUGGAAUUCCUGGUGUAGCGGUGAAAUGCGCAGAUAUCAGGAGGAACACCGAUGGCGAAGGCAGGUCUCUGGGCAUUAACUGACGCUGAGGAGCGAAAGCAUGGGGAGCGAACAGGAUUAGAUACCCUGGUAGUCCAUGCCGUAAACGUUGGGC
This 763-nucleotide ribosomal RNA is filed under the name Arthrobacter psychrolactophilus. Its description in RNAcentral is "bacterial SSU rRNA". It matches the Rfam family "Bacterial small subunit ribosomal RNA", at positions 48 to 814 of the family's 1533-position model. The record is from RNAcentral. Lineage: Bacteria; Bacillati; Actinomycetota; Actinomycetes; Micrococcales; Micrococcaceae.